CCUACGGGAGGCAGCAGUGGGGAAUAUUGCACAAUGGGGGGAACCCUGAUGCAGCGACGCCGCGUGGGUGAAGGAGUAUUUCGGUAUGUACAGCCCUAUCAGCAGGGACGAACAAUGACGGUACCUGACUAAGAAGCACCGGCUAAAUACGUGCCAGCAGCCGCGGUCAUACGUAUGGUGCAAGCGUUAUCCGGAUUUACUGGGUGUAAAGGGAGCUCAGGCGGCGCGUUAAGCCUGGUGUGAAAGCGCGCGGCCCAACCGCGGGACUGCAUUGGGAACUGGCGCGCUGGAGUGCCGGAGGGGUAGGCGGAAUUCCUAGUGUAGCGGUGAAAUGCGUAGAUAUUAGGAGGAACACCAGUUGCGAAGGCGGACUACUGGACGGUGACUGACGCUGAGGCUCGAAAGCGUGGGGAGCAAACAGGAUUAGAUACACCUGUAGUC
Molecule: ribosomal RNA, 441 nt
Filed under: uncultured bacterium
Lineage: Bacteria
Description: partial 16S ribosomal RNA
Rfam family: Bacterial small subunit ribosomal RNA
Source: RNAcentral